UGGGGAAUUGUUCGCAAUGGGCGCAAGCCUGACGACGCAACGCCGCGUGGAGGAUGAAGACCUUCGGGUCGUAAACUCCUUUCGAUCGAGACGAAUGGCCCUUGGGUUAACAGCCCAGGGGUAUGACGGUACCGAGAGAAGAAGCACCGGCUAACUCCGUGCCAGCAGCCGCGGUAAUACGGGGGGGGCAAGCGUUGUUCGGAAUUACUGGGCGUAAAGGGCUCGUAGGUGGCCAACUAAGUCAGACGUGAAAUCCCUCGGCUUAACCGGGGAACUGCGUCUGAUACUGGAUUGCUUGAGUUCGGGAGAGGGAUGCGGAAUUCCAGGUGUAGCGGUGAAAUGCGUAGAUAUCUGGAGGAACACCGGUGGCGAAGGCGGCAUCCUGGACCGACACUGACACUGAGGAGCGAAAGCCAGGGGAGCAAACGGG
This 430-nucleotide ribosomal RNA is filed under the name Bacillota bacterium. RNAcentral describes it as "Firmicutes bacterium partial 16S ribosomal RNA". It matches the Rfam family "Bacterial small subunit ribosomal RNA", at positions 355 to 776 of the family's 1533-position model. The record is from RNAcentral. Lineage: Bacteria; Bacillati; Bacillota.